RNAcentral lists this long non-coding RNA (258 nucleotides) under Mus caroli (Ryukyu mouse). RNAcentral's name for it is "lncRNA (MGP_CAROLIEiJ_G0004469.1)". The record is from RNAcentral. Lineage: Eukaryota; Metazoa; Chordata; Mammalia; Rodentia; Muridae.
GAGUUUUGAGGCAGGGUGUCCCAAAGAGGAGCCUCAAAUGCUGAAGUUCUUCCCUUCUUCUGUUCCUUCCUGCUUCUCAAAAUGUUUAAGAAAAAAAUGUGACAGAUUUAGAAGCUAUAGGGGAGAGCCUCGAGUCCUCACCCUUUCCAUGUAACCUGUUGUUGAGAAUCGUCAUGAAUCGGGACGGAAAACAAAUCCUCGAAUUCUGUGGAAAGAUUCUAACACUUUUUUAUUUCUUCAUAAACAGCAAUAAGCGAA